RNAcentral lists this ribosomal RNA (1173 nucleotides) under Triticum aestivum (bread wheat). RNAcentral describes it as "partial small subunit ribosomal RNA". Lineage: Eukaryota; Viridiplantae; Streptophyta; Magnoliopsida; Poales; Poaceae. The record is from RNAcentral.
AUGGGUAACUGCUGGUUUAAAGGGAGUCCGUACUUCAACAGGGUUUCUUCCAAUGCAACAAAGUCAGAAUCUCCAAAAUUGCAGAGCCCGUCAGAGAGAACCGAGAAGGACGAUAGCCUGCUUCCGUCCAACCCACAUGAGGUGGAGGCGCUGCGCAACGAUUCGGCUCGGAAGAAUCCUCUGAUAGCAUUCACGUUCGAGGAGCUCAAGAGAAUCACCAAGAACUUCAGGCAGGACUCUGUGCUAGGGGGAGGUGGCUUUGGCAGGGUCUACAAAGGGUGCGUCACCAAUGAUCUUCGCGAGGGGUUAGCAAUUGAGGAGCCGCUGCGAGUUGCGGUCAAGGUCCAUGAUGGAGACAACAGCUUCCAAGGCCACAGGGAGUGGCUGGCUGAGGUCAUUUUCCUUGGGCAGCUCUCACACCCAAAUCUUGUGAAGUUGGUCGGUUAUUGUUGCGAAGACGAUCACCGGGUUCUCGUUUACGAGUUGAUGCCCCUAGGGAGUGUGGAAUCGCAUCUGUUUUCGAGGGUAAUGCUGCCACUGCCAUGGUCCACCAGAAUGAAGAUCGCACUGGGUGCUGCAAGGGGUCUUGCCUUCCUGCACGAAGCUGAGAAGCCUGUCAUUUACAGGGACUUCAAGACAUCCAACAUAUUGCUCGACGAGGAGUACAACGCAAAGCUCUCUGACUUCGGGCUGGCGAAGGAUGGGCCGGUCGGCGACAAGUCGCACGUCUCGACCCGCAUCAUGGGCACCUACGGCUACGCCGCCCCGGAGUACAUCAUGACAGGGCACCUGACGGCGAUGAGCGACGUGUACAGCUACGGGGUGGUGCUGCUGGAGCUGCUGACGGGGCGCAAGUCGCUGGACAGGUCGAGACCGGUGAGGGAGCAGACGCUGACGGACUGGGCCUUCCCGCUGCUGGCGCACAGGAAGAAGGUGUUGGGCAUCGUCGACCCCAGGCUCGCCGCCGACGACUACCCCGUGAAGGCCGUGCACAAGACGGCCAUGCUCGCCUACCACUGCCUCAGCCGCAACCCCAAGGCCAGGCCGCUCAUGCGUGACAUCGUCGCCACCCUCGAGCCCCUGCAGCAGCAGCCGCAGCCGCAGCCGGAGCUGGUGGUGGAGGUGAGCCCGGCCAACGACUCCGGUGGCGGCGACGGCGUGGGUGUUCGGUGA